This 481-nucleotide ribosomal RNA is filed under the name uncultured bacterium. RNAcentral describes it as "bacterial SSU rRNA". It matches the Rfam family "Bacterial small subunit ribosomal RNA", at positions 29 to 507 of the family's 1533-position model. The record is from RNAcentral.
AACUAACGCUGGCGGCGUGCCCAACACAUGCAAGUCGUACGAGAAAGUCGGCUUCGGCUGAUGAGUAAAGUGGCGCACGGGUGAGUAACGCGUGGAUAAUCUGCCCUUGAGUGUGGAAUAACGUACCGAAAGGCGCGCUAAUACCGCAUAAUGCCUGGCAACACAAGUUGUCCGGCCAAAGAAGGCCUCUGUUUACAAGCUUUUGCUCAAGGAUGAGUCCGCGUACCAUUAGCUAGUUGGUGGGGUAACGGCCCACCAAGGCGACGAUCGGUAGCCGACCUGAGAGGGUGAUCGGCCACACUGGAACUGAGAGACGGUCCAGACUCCUACGGGAGGCAGCAGUGGGGAAUAUUGGGCAAUGGGGGAAACCCUGACCCAGCAACGCCGCGUGAGGGAAGAAGGUUUUCGGAUUGUAAACCUCUGUCCUUGGUGAAGAAAAAAAUAGACGGUAGCCAAGGAGGAAGCCCCGGCUAACUCCGUG